RNAcentral lists this ribosomal RNA (271 nucleotides) under uncultured bacterium. RNAcentral describes it as "partial 16S ribosomal RNA". It matches the Rfam family "Bacterial small subunit ribosomal RNA", at positions 85 to 354 of the family's 1533-position model. The record is from RNAcentral.
CUGAUGGCGACCGGCGUACGGGUGAGUAACGCGUAUCCAACCUGCCCUUUACUAUGGGACAGCCCGUCGAAAGGCGGAUUAAUACCGUAUGUUGUCAUGUUGAUGCAUAUUUCCAUGACCAAAGGCUUCGGCCGGUAAAGGAUGGGGAUGCGUCUGAUUAGCUUGCCGGCGGGGUAACGGCCCACCGGGGCGACGAUCAGUAGGGGUUCUGAGAGGAAGGUCCCCCACAUUGGAACUGAGACACGGUCCAAACUCCUACGGGAGGCAGCAG